Non-coding RNA from Pelobates cultripes (western spadefoot toad), 764 nucleotides. The record is from the annotation of a GenBank genome assembly. NCBI's taxonomy places the organism in Eukaryota, Metazoa, Chordata, Amphibia, Anura, Pelobatidae.
UACAGUAUAUACUUGAGUAUAAGUCUAGUUUUUCAGCACAUUUUUUGUGCUUAAAAACCCCCACUCGACUUAUACUCGAGUUACUGUCUGUAUUAUGGCAACUUAGAAAGCCGCGGCCGUCAGAGCCAUGGCAACGAUCAGCGUGGCAACCAGACCGUGAGACUUACAGUGGAGCUGACCGGAACGGAGGAGAAAGGAGCUGACAGGAGCUGCAGGAAAGGUAAGUAAAUGCUUCCUGCCGGCCCCCUCACUUCACAGCCCAUGCCACUGGACCACCAGGGAUUAAGAUAGCCCCCCUCCCUGACCAGUUAACAAGCAGGUAGGGGGGGGACAAAAAAAAAUUAAAAUAAUAAAAAAAUAAUAGUAAAAUAAAAGAAAUUUAAAUAAUAAAAAUGCCCUCCCCCCACCCAGUUCACACACACUACAUUAUAUACACUCUGAAUUAUAUACAGAGAGUGUGUGUAUAUAAUGCAGACUGUGUGUUUGUAUGAGUGUGUGUGUGUAUAUAAUGCAGAGUGUGUGUUUGUAUGAGUGUGUGUAUAUAUAAUGCAGAAUGUGUGUUUGUAUGAGUGUGUGUGUAUAUAAUUCAGAGUGUGUGUUUGUAUGAGUGUGUGUGUAUAUAAUGCAGAGUGUGUGUUUGUAUGAGUGUGUGUGUAUAUAAUGCAGAGUGUGUGUUUGUAUGAGUGUCUGUGUAUAAUGCAGAGUGUGUGUUUGUAUGAGUGUGUGUGUAUAUAAUGCAGAGUGUGUGUUUGUAUGAGUGUGUG